Dicentrarchus labrax (European seabass) is the source of this 4872-nucleotide long non-coding RNA. Lineage: Eukaryota; Metazoa; Chordata; Actinopteri; Moronidae. The record is from Ensembl.
GUGGAAAUUCUUCUCAAAAUUGAGAGGUGCUAAGUCUCUGAAGAAUUUUCAAGCCGGUGUGAUAAUCAAGUCACUUUAAUUCAUGCAGCAUGGAGAGAAGGUCACGUAGUGAAUGUUCUCUCCAGACUUCCAAAAUGCUCUCCCUUAUAUACAUUUCAGUACAUCUCAUUACAUCACAAACAAUGAAACCCCCUGUUUGUCUUGCAAAUGUUACUCCUGUAAAUCCAGGUCUCUCUCACCAAAUGGUCCUUUGAUCUGUGACUUCCAAAAUGCUCUCCCUUAUAUACAUUUCAGUACAUCUCAUUACAUCACAAACAAUGAAACCCCCUGUUUGUCUUGCAAAUGUUACUCCUGUAAAUCCAGGUCUCUCUCACCAAAUGGUCCUUUGAUCUGUGACUUCCCCCUGGCUCUUCCUAUCAUAAAAUUCAACCCUUUGACCAGGGGCACAUCUAUUUUAUUACCCCCAAAUCCUGUUUCUUUCCCACAAGCCUCCUGAUUUAUACGCCUCCUGAUUGGCUGGCUGAGUGUUACAUGUCUCCUGAUAGGCUGGCUUAGUGUUACACACCUCCUGAUUGAAACGCCUUCUCAUUGGCUUUCUGUUACAUGCCACCUGAUUGGCUGCCUGAGUGUGACAUGCUUCCUUAUUGGCUGGCUGAGUGUUACACGCCUCCUUAUUGGCAGGCUGAGUGUCAAAGGCCUCAUGAUGGGCCCCUUUGUUUUAAAUGCCUUCUGAUUCGCUGGCUGAGAGUCAAAGGCCUCUUGAUUUGCUGACUGUGUGUCAAAGGGCUCCUGAUUGGCUGGCUGAGUGUUAAAACCAUCCUGAUUGGCUGAUUGUUACAUGCAUGCUGAUUUGUUGAUUGGUCAAUGCUUCCUGUCCUGGUUAGCUGAAUGUUAAAUCCACCCUCAUUGGCUGUUUCUUUGCUGAUUGUCACAUGUUUCCUGAUUUGCUGGCUAAGUGUCACAUGCAUCCUGAUUGGCUGGCUGAGUGUUACACGCCCCCUGAUUGGCUGGCUGAGGGUUACACACCUCCUGAUUGGCUGGCUGAGUGUUACAUGCAUCCUGAUUGGCUGGCCGAGAGUCAAAGGCCUGCUGAUUGGCUGGCUGAGUGUUACAUGUUUCCUGAUUUGCUGGCUAAGUGUCACAUGCAUCCUAUUGGCUUGCUGAGGGUCACAUGCAUCCUGAUUGGCUGGCCGAGUGUCAAAGGCCUCCUGAUUGGCUGGGUGAGUGUUACACACCUCCUGAUAUGCUGGCUAAGUCUUAAAACCAUCCUGAUUGGCUGAUUGUUAAAUCCACCCUCAUUGGCUGUUUCUUUGCUGAUUGUCACAUGCAUCCUGAUUGGCUGGCUGAGUGUCACACACCUCCUGAUUGGCUGGCUGAGUGUUACAUGCCUCCUGAUUGGCUGGCUGCUUGUUACACGCCUCCUGAUUUGCUGGCUAAGUGUCACAUACAUCCUGAUUGGCUUGCUGAGGGUCACAUGCAUCCUGAUUGGCUGGCCGAGUUCCAAAGAUUUCCUGAUUAGCUGAAUGUUAAAUCCACCCUCAUUGGCUGUUUCUUUGCUGAUUGUUACAUGCUUCCUGAAUUUGCUGAUUUUUACAUGCAUGCUUAUUGGCUGAUUGUUACAUGCAUGCUUAUUGGCUGAUUGUUACAGGCUUCCUGAUUCGCUGAAUGUGAAAUCCAUCCUCAUUGGCUGUUUCUUACAUGCAUCCUGAUUGGCUGAAUAUUGAAGGCUUUCUCACUGGUGAAAACACUAAAACUGUGUUUAACCCUGUUUUUUGUUCGUCUGGAUAAGAUCUACGUGUGUGCUGAUUUUUAUGCAUAUCAGUGAAAGGGGCCCCGGUUGGAACAGUUUAUUGGCCCCUGAGGGGCAAUUUUGCUACGCUCAAGUAGACCCCUAGAAAAUAGGAAAUGUUUCACCAUGACUGACAUCCUCACUGGCUGAAUGUUACAUGCAUCCUCAUUGGCUGAUUGUAAAACCCAUCCUGAUUGGCUGCAUGUUACAUACAUCCUGAUUUGCUGAUUGGGAAAUCCAUCCUGAUUGGCUAAUUUGUUCACUUAAUUAGCAAUUUUUUUACAUGCAUCCCGAUUGGCUGAUUGUUAUAUGCAUCCUCAUUGAUUGUCACAUGCAUCCUGAUGUGCUAAAUGUUAAAUGGAUCCUGACUGGCUGAAUUUCAAAGGUGUCCUAAAUGGCUGAUUGUUACAUGCAUUGUGAUUGAUUGUUUAAUGAAUCCUGAUUGGCUGAUUGUUAUAUUUAUCCUGAUUGGCUGAAUGUUAAAUUCUUCCUGAUUAGCUAAAUGUGAAAGCCAUCCUGAUUGGCUGAAUGUUAAAGUCCUCCUUAUUGGCUGAUUGUUACAUUCAUCCUGAUUAUCUGAUUGUUAAAUACAGCCCAACCGGCUGAUUGUUACAUGAAUCCUGAUUGAUAGAAUGCUAAAGGCCUCCUGAUAAGCUGGUUAUUACAUGCCUCCUGAGCACUGAUGGGCAGUAACAUGUUAGGAGUAACGUGUUACUGUAAUCCGAUUACUUUUUUCAAGUAACGAGUAAAGUAAGGGAUUACAAUUGCAAAAACAGUAAUUAGAUUUCUGUUACUUUCCCGCAAGCAGGCUGCGUUACUUAACCGUGAUUUUGUUUUGUGAGACUGUCUCGUGAGUGACAAUGACGUAUGAGCGCUGCAACAAACACUGACACCUGUAGUCAUCAACAAGAGACAACAUGGAGCGCGGGACAGAGCAAGACCAUGCAGCGUUUAAAGCUUGGAAGUACCGACAUAACUUUGAGUUUGACUCGGUAAAAGGUGACAAAAACAUUAGCGUCCGCUGUACACUGCGUUGGAAGAAAACUUUUAUCUACAGCGAAAAAUUCCACCUCCUAUCUGAGCAAGCACCUAGCAAGCUGGCACAGGUCAGAGACUGUUGCAUUUAAUUUAAUUUUUGCUUGAUGCAAUGUGCAAAGUUAAAAGAUUGAAACUAAUAAAACAAGUUUUAAAAAAGAAAUUUGAUUCAAUUUUAGAUGAUGGAAUUAUUAUUUAGGGCUGCUCGAUUAUGGAAAAAAUCAUAAUCACGAUUAUUUGGGUCAAAAUUGAAAUCACGAUUAUUGAAACGAUUACGAUCGGACGGGCCUGCCCCCACUGCUAAAAAAAAUCCUAGGGGAAACACUGAUUACCUGUUACUGUUACGCUUUACCUGUUCCAUCAAAAACAACGUGACUGACUCAUGUGCAGUGCAUGCUGGGGGGCAGGGACGUAAAUACGCUUGCGCGAAAUCCUUCCUGAUUUGCUGAUUAUUAAGUGCACAUUAUUGGCUUAUAUUUAUAUGCAUCCUGAUAGGCUGAUUGUUAAAGGCAUCCUGAUUGGUUGAUUGUUACAUGAAUCCUAAUAGCUUGAAUGUCACAUGCAUACUGAUUGGCUAUUUCUUCACUUAAUUAGCAAAUUUGUUACAUGUGUCUUAAAUUGGCUGAAUGGCAAAGGCCUACUGAAUGGGGCUGUAGCGAUACACUAAUCUCACGAUACGAUACAAUACAAUACACGAUAUUCAGCUCACGAUACGAUAUAUAUCACGUGCUGGAGAAAAUGAAUCAAAGAUGUGGUGAGAAAAUUGGUUUCAUUUAUUGAAACAGUGCAAACUUACAAACUUUUGAAAAGUAAAUAAAGUGCCUUAAAAUAAACAAUCAAGACUUAAAAAGUGCAGCAAGUGGCCUGUUCUGAACAGAUUCUGAAUGUAUGAGGUAGCCAAUCUAGCCACCAGGUAGGUAAAAAUAAACCAUGGCAAUAAGAACGAAGCCAAUAAUUCAAGUACAUAGGACAGGAGGAACAUUUAAACCAACUUAAAACUGUACCCGUCUUAGAAGAGUAGCUUAAGGCCUGCAGGCCCUGACCUACAAGUAAACACUAAACAGAAAGUCUCCUCUCCACAUAACUGCAGACCAAGUGAUCUACAUUCUCUUCAGAUUUUUGUUCAGAAAUAUAAUCUGAUCGAUGUGUUCUGGGAGAAGUGCACUUCUCUGAGCAGUGAUGAUAUCUCCGGCGGUGGAGAAGACCCUCUCCGAGGAGACGCUAGUGCCAGGGAUGCAGAGGUACCUUUUAGCAAGGUGUGACAAGAGUGGAUACUCAUACUGGUGUUAACGUACUAGUUAGCUAACUAACGUUACCCGCUAACGUUUGCAUGUUUGUAGCUAUACACAAAGUGACAUCUGUUCCGUUGUGUGAUGAAGUCUUCAUCUGAAUAUGUACACCCUGCCUGCCGGCGAAUGACAGCUUGAUAAGUAACGUUAGUUUAAAAACAAAAAACCUUAUGCCAACUAGGCUGUAUCAUAUAUGGCUAGCAGGAUGUGAAACAUUGUAGCCUACCUGCUUAUCCACUCCACAUAGCAUCAGACAACAGACAAGAGCAGCUGGGGCAGUGAAAUGCCUAUAAUCCUGUUAGCAAUCUGUUAGGUUGUAACAUAGUAGUAAUAACUGUACGAUAGUAUGUAUGCAAAGUAACUGUAAGUAAUAAGUAGACGCAGUACAACAGUAACGUGUCAUUCAUUCUGUAUGUAUUCUUCUUCUCAUCAUAUCAUAUCAAAUCACGUACAUAUGAUAAUACGUUUUCGCCACCUACUGGCGAACGUGUAACCACGUUUAUGUUAAGAUUACAUGAUUGACAUGAAACAUAACAUCAGCGAAUGAACAGUCUGAAUGCACGUCAACUGUCUGCUAUGACAGGAGAAUUUAUGACCGUCACUGUCAUUAGAAGUGAACCCAGCUGGACGUCUGAUUUGUCUACCCACGUGAUGCCUUUAUCUAACUAAAACGUUUUUUCUGUUAGGUACAUCAUUCCUACAGCUUGAAUGAACCGCCUCUGACAGCUUGUGUUGCUGUGGAAAAGGAGGGACUGGUUC